GAUGAACGCUGGCGGCGUGCCUAAUACAUGCAAGUCGAGCGAACGGACGAGAAGCUUGCUUCUCUGAUGUUAGCGGCGGACGGGUGAGUAACACGUGGAUAACCUACCUAUAAGACUGGGAUAACUUCGGGAAACCGGCGCUAAUACCGGAUAAUAUUUUGAACCGCAUGGUUCAAAAGUAAAAGACGGUCUUGCUGUCACUUAUAGAUGGAUCCGCGCUGCAUUAGCUAGUUGGUAGGGUAACGGCUUACCAAGGCAACGAUGCAUAGCCGACCUGAGAGGGUGGUCGGCCACACUGGAACGGGGACACGGUCCAGACUCCUACGGGAGGCAGCAGUAGGGAAUCUUCCGCAAUGGGCGAAAGCCUGACGGAGCAACGCCGCGUGAGUGAUGAAGGUCUUCGGAUCGUAAAACUCUGUUAUUAGGGAAGAACAUAUGUGGAAGUAACUGUGCACAUCUUGACGGUACCUAAUCAGAAAGCCACGGCUAACUACGUG
This 497-nucleotide ribosomal RNA is filed under the name uncultured bacterium. Its description in RNAcentral is "partial 16S ribosomal RNA". It matches the Rfam family "Bacterial small subunit ribosomal RNA", at positions 28 to 507 of the family's 1533-position model. The record is from RNAcentral.